UGAAAACAUGGUUUUCAAGGCCUGAGAAUCAUAAUAGAACCUAAAACCCCCAAAUCAAACCCAACCCCCAAAUCAAACAAACUCCAAAAUCAAAUAGAACCCUAAAUCUCACCAAUAAUCAAACACAACCCCCAAAUUAAACCCUACAUUGAGUCCAAAUCAUGUAUUAUAGUGAAGCCUUGAGUGAAACCGAACCCCUUAGCAAACGUGAGAGAACGAGAUAAUGAAAUGAGAACGUGAGUAAAGAGGGAACGUGAGUAGAAGAAGUGUGGUAAAGAGUGAAGUGAAAGAAGAAGUUUGAGAAGUGAAAGGAGAUAAUGAAAGAAGAACGUGAGUGAAAGAAGAAGUGUUUGGUGUU
Molecule: non-coding RNA, 358 nt
Organism: Lupinus albus (white lupine)
Lineage: Eukaryota; Viridiplantae; Streptophyta; Magnoliopsida; Fabales; Fabaceae
Source: the annotation of a GenBank genome assembly